Molecule: long non-coding RNA, 556 nt
Organism: Humulus lupulus (European hop)
Lineage: Eukaryota; Viridiplantae; Streptophyta; Magnoliopsida; Rosales; Cannabaceae
Exons: 2
Source: RefSeq, a predicted model, not a curated record
AUUAUGCUGUGUCCUUUUCUCCAUUGCCUUUCUCCAUGAUUUGGACUUGGAAACCAUUUGGGAAUUGUAAUCCUGGAGUCCGGACUAUAUUUCCUCCUCCAAUUUGACUCCACCUGAAGAAGUUCAGACCUUUACUGAAGCUGACCCUCCAUCUCCAAGGAUUGAAAGCCAAAGGAUCUUCAUAUUUUGCAGGGUUUAGAUGCACAGCUGGGGGACAAACCAUAACUGCCCAAUCUGCUGGAAUUGUAUAUCCUGUAUUGAGACCAAAUAUACUUUAGAUUUACCAUAACAUUAAAUGGUAACAUUCUAUGAAACCAUAUAGAAUUAUUACUUAUAAAUAUGUAAACAUACAUACCCUUAAACUGGAUAUCUCUUAGUGUUUUUCGGAAGAUACCAGGAACUAUAUUUGCUAGUCUGACUGUUUCAUUAAUGACCUGCAAAUUGAACCAGUCAGUAUGAAGCAAAAAGAGAUAAAACUCAGAUAAAAUGCUAUAAUGUGUACAUGUCUAACUCACCUGAAAUGUAAAUGUCAUUGAUUUGUAUUCUUUCCAUGUAA